RNAcentral lists this unclassified non-coding RNA (206 nucleotides) under soil metagenome. RNAcentral's name for it is "partial contains 5.8S ribosomal RNA, internal transcribed spacer 2, and large subunit ribosomal RNA". The record is from RNAcentral.
AACAUCGCGCACCUGCGGGAACCUGCGGAGGGAUCAUUACCGAGUUUACAACUCCCAAACCCCUGUGAACAUACCUAUACGUUGCCUCGGCGGAUCAGCCCGCGCCCUGUAAAAAGGGACGGCCCGCCCGAGGACCCUAAACUCUGUUUUUAGUGGAACUUCUGAGUAAAACAAACAAAUAAAUCAAAACUUUUAACAAUGGAUCU